Molecule: ribosomal RNA, 387 nt
Filed under: Neisseria dumasiana
Lineage: Bacteria; Pseudomonadati; Pseudomonadota; Betaproteobacteria; Neisseriales; Neisseriaceae
Description: partial 23S ribosomal RNA
Rfam family: Bacterial large subunit ribosomal RNA
Source: RNAcentral
GUGGUUCUGUAUGGAAGGGCCAUCGCUCAACGGAUAAAAGGUACUCCGGGGAAAACAGGAUGAUUCCGCCCAAGAGUUCAUAUUGACGGCGGAGUUUGGCACCUCGAUGUCGGCUCAUCACAUCCUGAGGCUGUAGUCGGUCCCAAGGGGAUGGCUGUUCGCCAUUUAAAGUGGUACGUGAGCUGGGUUUAAAACGUCGUGAGACAGUUUGGUCCCUAUCUGCAGUGGGCGUUGGGAGUUUGACGGGGGCUGCUCCUAGUACGAGAGGACCGGAGGGGACGAACCUCUGGCGUACCGGUUGUGACGCCAGUCGCAUCGCCGGGUAGCUAAGCUCGGAAGAGAUAAGCGCUGAAAGCAUCUAAGCGCGAAACUCGCCUGAAGAUGAGA